CAUCACCACCACCACAGGCCCAUGGGGAGUACUGCCAGGCGACUGCAGAUGUUCCCUUAAAGACCCAAGGACUCUUCACUCAGCUUGCUGCCUGGCCUGAGACUCACCCUUCAGGGAAAUGAGCUCCCCUAUGGUCCAAGGAGGUGAUGAUCCGUGGAGCCUUCUAUUAGGCUGUCUUGUUCCCCAAGUCAUCUGAAUUGAAGCGUAAAUAAAUAAGAUGGGCAUCUGGGGAGAGUGAUAGGUCAUCUGUAUUUCUUUCCCCUUGUAUCUAAAGCACGUAUUCAUUCUUUCAGUACAUAUCAAUUUAGUCUCAGAUUUUGCACAAGGUUUUGGAUAUAAAGCAAUGAAAGAUAGACAAAUAGUUUGUGUGAAAAUUGGCGAACACACCAUGUGCAGUGGCAGCAUUUAAUAAAGACAGCAGGGGGAAGCCAAGAGGCUUCCUGGAGAUGAAAUCUUAGCUGAAUUUUGAUGGCUGAAGAAGAAUCUACCAAGUGACGUAGAAUGAGGAAGGGAUUAAAAGCAUUCUUGGAAAAUAAACAGCAUAUGCCAAGCAAAGAAGACACUUGAAGGAAGUUGAAAUAGUAUUCUGUAGCUAGAAUGUGAGAUGCACCAGGAAUGGCCAUGUCAGGCUGGAGAGAAUGGAAGUUAGCCACAAGGAGAGAAAUGGAAGGAUUUUGAAGAGUAUAUGAGUUUUCUA
Molecule: long non-coding RNA, 697 nt
Filed under: Homo sapiens (human)
Lineage: Eukaryota; Metazoa; Chordata; Mammalia; Primates; Hominidae
Description: HSALNT0111721
Source: RNAcentral